GAUGAACGCUGGCGGCGUGCUUAACACAUGCCAGUCGAACGAGAAGUGAAGACGGAAACCUUCGGGCGGAAGGCUUUAUUUCGAGUGGCGGACGGGUGAGUAACGCGUGGGUAACCUGCCUCAUACAGGGGGAUAACAGUUGGAAACGACUGUUAAUACCGCAUAAGACCACAGCACCGCAUGGUGCGGGGGUAAAAACUCCGGUGGUAUGAGAUGGACCCGCGUUCGAUUAGCCAGUUGGCGGGGUAACGGCCCACCAAAGCGACGAUCGAUAGCCGAUCUGAGAGGAUGACCGACCACAUUGGGACUGAGACACGGCCCAAACUCCUACGGGAGGCAGCAGUGGGGAAUAUUGCACAAUGGGGGAAACCCUGAUGCAGCGACGCCGCGUGAGUGAAGAAGUAUUUCGGGAUGUAAAGCUCUAUCAGCAGGGAAGAAAAUGACGGUACCUGAGUAAGAAGCCCCGGCUAACUACGUG
RNAcentral lists this ribosomal RNA (478 nucleotides) under uncultured bacterium. RNAcentral describes it as "partial 16S ribosomal RNA". It matches the Rfam family "Bacterial small subunit ribosomal RNA", at positions 28 to 507 of the family's 1533-position model. The record is from RNAcentral.